UAACGCGUAUGCAAUCUACCUUUCACAGAGGGAUAGCCCAGAGAAAUUUGGAUUAAUACCUCAUAGUAUAGCAGUUUCGCAUGAAACCACUAUUAAAGUCACAACGGUGAAAGAUGAGCAUGCGUCCCAUUAGCUAGUUGGUAAGGUAACGGCUUACCAAGGCAACGAUGGGUAGGGGUCCUGAGAGGGAGAUCCCCCACACUGGUACUGAGACACGGACCAGACUCCUACGGGAGGCAGCAGUGAGGAAUAUUGGACAAUGGGCGCAAGCCUGAUCCAGCCAUGCCGCGUGCAGGAUGACGGUCCUAUGGAUUGUAAACUGCUUUAUACAGGAAGAAACACUACUUCGUGAAGUAGCUUGACGGUACUGUAAGAAUAAGGAUCGGCUAACUCCGUG
This 397-nucleotide ribosomal RNA is filed under the name uncultured bacterium. Its description in RNAcentral is "bacterial SSU rRNA". It matches the Rfam family "Bacterial small subunit ribosomal RNA", at positions 111 to 507 of the family's 1533-position model. The record is from RNAcentral.